Anolis carolinensis (green anole) is the source of this 1553-nucleotide long non-coding RNA. The record is from Ensembl. NCBI's taxonomy places the organism in Eukaryota, Metazoa, Chordata, Lepidosauria, Squamata, Anolidae.
AUGAUGCUCCAUGUCUUUUUUCAGCUGCCAUUGGAAGAAGUGCCUGUCAACCCCUCAAAAGUGGAGGGGACCCUUUUGGGACAAAACUCUCUGGAAGUCAAGGAGAAAGUUGAUGGGGAUUUUCGCCUGAUAGCCAAUGGUUCAAUGCUGUCUCCUAAAGAAGAAGAAAUGACCGAGACUGGCCUUUCGGAGGUACGUGAUGUUGUGUUAGAGUGUUUUUAGCAAAAAAAAAAAAAAACCAAAAAAAACAUUUGAUAGAUCUCAAAAUUAAAGGGCAAUUGAAGUGAUGCGGGAGUCUGAAUUUUGGGCAAAAAGAGAAUGCUACCUUUUGGGCAUGCAGUUCUGUUCUCUGGUGUAGAAAUAUUCUGUAUCUGUAACUACAGGAAGAGAGUUAUGGUUCCACAUUAAAUGCCAUUGAUUGCAAGAUGCAUGGCAAUUUCAGUAUCACCAAAACAAGGCAAAACAAUUAUAUAUCAUGCACCCGAGAUUAUAAGACACAUCCAAUUUUUAGAGAUGUUUAUACCCGGGGGGGGGGGGGGGGGGUCUUAGAACUGGGGAAAUAGAGUAUUGCCUUGUCUGUCCCGCUUGCUCAACAUCUAUUUGUUUAUUGAUUUGAAUAUUAUUUAUUUUAUGUAUAUGCCAACCUUCUCCCUGAAUGGGCCCCAAGGCGUGAAGAAGGGGGCCGGGAAGACAUAAUUCCACCAUUUCUUCUGUGUCAAUAUAACAAUAUAAUAAUAUAUAAUACUCAUAUUAUGUUAUACUAAUCAUAUAAUAUAUUGUAUAUACAUAUAAUAUUGAUAACAAUAUCAUAAUAUAAUACAAUAUAAUAACAAUAAUACACUAUUAUAAUUGUAUAUUUAUAUUACAUGUAAUAUUACUAAUAAUAUAGUGGUAUAGUACAAUAUAAUAAUAUAUAAUGCUUCUGUUGUGCUAUGCUAAUACAGUAGAGUCUCGCUUAUCCAACGUAAACGGGCCGGCAGAACGUUGGAUAAGUGAAUAUGUUGGAUAAUAAGGAGAGAUUAAGGGAAAGCCUAUUAAAGAUCAAAUUAGGUUAUGAUUUUACAAAUUAAGCACCAAAACAUCAUGUUAUACAACACAUUUGACAGGAAAAGUAGUUCAAUACGCAGUAAUGCUAUGUAGUAAUUACUGUAUUUACGAAUUUAGCACCAAAAUAUCACAAUGUAUUGGAAACAUUGACUACAAAAUGCGUUGGCUAAUCCAGAACGUUGGAUAAGCGAGUGUUGGAUAAGUGAGACUCUACUGUAAUAUAAUAUAUUGUAGGUACAUAAACUUGUAAGCUGCCCUGAGUCCCUUUUGGGGUGGGAUAGAAAUGUCACAAAUAAAUAAAAAGGUAACUAACUCAAUAAUAAUAAUAAUAAUAAUAAUAAUAAUAAUAAUAAUAAUAAUAAUAAUAAUAAUCUUUAUUUAUAUUCUGCUCUCUCUCCCUGAGGGGACUCAGAGCGGAUUACAGGUACAUAUAUGGCAAACAUUCAAUGUCCUUAUACAAUUGACAGAGACAGACAAUAUAUAAUCGUGGUGCAUAUUUUUCAGAU